UGAUGACAGUAGGCUUGAGACAUACCAGAGCAUGAUGCAAGUCACCUUACUUUCUUACCAUCCUCAAGUCACCUCCUGUUGAGAUAUCUCCCACUGUAAAGCACAGCCAGGUUCCUGUAGAUUCCUUGUAAUGGUUGGUUACUCGAAGCAAGCACGGCGAAAACUCCAUGUUCCUCAGCCCUCAGGGGGCUCCAGUGGACCUAGAUUGAUCAGGCUGAUACACUUUAGAACAUAUAUAUACUUCUGAGUCGCAUAAGAAUAGUUGCCGUCAUCGGUUAUGCUGCCCGGAAAUGGGUGCUUCAGUUCGUUCUUAUACAUGCACAGUCUUGCAAAGGAUUUCUCUUAUACUUGAAGAGGAUUCUGGUAGUAUGAAUAUGGUUUGCAACUUUGCAUAUUCUGGUAGUAUGAAGUGAUAUGGUUAUUCUUUGUAUAGACCAGUUACACAAG
RNAcentral lists this long non-coding RNA (447 nucleotides) under Triticum aestivum (bread wheat). Its description in RNAcentral is "long non-coding RNA (TAES_LNC011764)". The record is from RNAcentral. Lineage: Eukaryota; Viridiplantae; Streptophyta; Magnoliopsida; Poales; Poaceae.